Long non-coding RNA from Papaver somniferum (opium poppy), 2436 nucleotides. RefSeq lists it as uncharacterized. The record is from RefSeq and is a predicted model, not a curated record. The transcript is spliced from 5 exons. Lineage: Eukaryota; Viridiplantae; Streptophyta; Magnoliopsida; Ranunculales; Papaveraceae.
UUCCCUUCGUCUCCCACUUCCUUUCUCUCUUACAUAGAAAAACUUUGCAAAAAAAAAAAUUGAUCCUCCACAUCCUCUGCUUUUCACUCUAUCCUUCCAAUACUAGUUAACAAUAAUCUCCAUGACUCAUUCCUAUGUUUCCUUCUCUAAAUUACUCACCAUCAUGCUUUCACCUUUAGGGUUUUAUGCAAUCUCUUAUUAUCAUUUACCAAACCCUAGGUCUAUUUUUUAGUUCAAUCUUUGAUCAAAACCAUAACUUGUUCCUAUCAGUUUUCGAUUUGAACAAAUACCAUUAAAACCCCUUAACCUAAUUGAAGAAACCCCUCACAGAAUACUGAGAUUUUUUCAUCUAUAAUGAACAUUCAACUGAUUUUUUUUUCUUUUUGCAUUUUUUUGUUAGGGUUUUUGUUGAUAGGGGUGCAAAUCUAACUGAUUUUAGCUCUAUGGGUUAUUUAGGAUUUAUAAUUUCUUAUUGUUGAAUGAAAUUUUGUUUUUUUUUUUUACUCAGUUGGGGUUUUGUUAUAUCUCGAACUGUUAACUAAGAUCUCUAAUGAUUACUCUCUGACUGAAAUUUCGGUUUGUUUUAAAAUCUUAUCCAUGUUGUUUCAAUUUCUCUCAAUUUGUCAACAUAAAUGAAGCCUGUAACGUGUUUUAAUUUUUAUAUUUGUGUGAUUUAUGUUCAUAGAGACUUAAUGGGAGAUUUUUUUUCUGGAUCCCCACUACUUCAGUAUAUGUUGAUGAUAUUUGACUUUGGACUGAUUAUGUUCAGCUUCCUUUUGUUAUGCUCUUGUUUGUGUAUGCUAAAUAGUAGUUUUGAUUUUCUCAUCUCUCUUGAAGUUAGGAUUACCUAAUACACUAAGCUUGAAUCUGAGGAAUUUAUGAUCAUAUUACCAGUAUCAUUCAUCGGUAGAAGAGGACGGAAGAAGACUGUUGAAAUGAAGCUUACCUUAUACAGAUUGAGAUUAUGAGCAAUUUUACAGAUCUCGAUUCUUUAUGUUACCUACCCUAAAAGCUUGGUACUUAUCUGUACAUAUAUAGGUGAUGCUGAAUUUGGAUAUGUCGAUGAAAUUGAUGAACAAUAAGAGGAUGAUAUAUGGAGAAGAGUCUUACGGGAGAGAACAAAGAAUGAACUAUGCCUAAAGGAAGUCCCAUGUUGAGGCACUAAACUGAUUUCUCAAUUUUUUUGUUUUGUUGUUUAUAUUCAUCAACAUUACAGUGCUUAAUUGUCAAAAUUGCAGGUGGUUGAUAGAAGUUUGUUGAGUCAUGAGGUAAAGGGACAUUCGAGUUACAGUGGGAGGAGGAAAUCAUAAUUACACAUUGAAGUAAACUUGCCAUUACAAUUAUCCAUCUCAUUUAUUACAGUUAAUUUAGUCAUUUAUCUACUGUAUUUUAUAGGCUGAAAUGCAGUGUGAGAGGUACAUUAUUGCUCUAGUGUGCUAGUCUUGAAAAUGGGCAUGCUUGUGACGAUAGAAUCAUUUAAAGUCAGGUAACUAAUAUUGUUUUCGGGUUAUAAAAUGCUUCUGACUUUCUCAGCUUGAGCAUGUUAAUUUUCAAAAUCUGAAUGCUAAGUGUAGAUUAUUGGUAAGGUUUGCAAUCCUGUCUGUUUAAUUUCUAACUGGAAACUUGGUUCUCUCUACUACAUACGCCAUGUCUCUGGAUUGUAGGUUAGGGACAAUGUUAGUGAGUCCAAUUUGGAAUAACUCUCGUAUGCAUUGUUGUUUUAGGUACACACCCUCCUAGUUCAUAUUGAAAAACGUGUUUUAGAAUCUCCCAAAAGAUCAUGCCUAAAUGUAAAUGCUUAUGAAGAUCUAUAUGUGUUAUUGCAUCCGCAACUUCAUCUCCGGUAAUUUCAACAUUUGUUUCUGACAACGAGUAUUAAGAUGGAGAUCAUGUAAUAAUUAUUGAAUGAAUACUUGAAUUUUGCUUCUUUGUAUUUUCUCUAUGUACAUGGAGAUAUCAACACAUGGUCAUCUCUUCAUGUUAUCAGGAAACAAGCUAAAUCUAAAGAUUGAAGAAUGUUGUCAGAUCAGUUUGGAAGAUUAUUAACCUUGAUAAGGAAGAUGACGUGUUUUGGUAAAUAAUGCAAGGAGAGUCAAAGCCGUAGACUCACAAUUGUUGAUCCAGUAACUAUUUGUACAUUUCUCGAGGUCUGUAAUCCUCUCUGUUGUAGGUAUACUAUUCUGGUCAGUUGGGCAGCCCAGUUCAUCGUUUUGAUGGUUUUUUAUUUCAUCGUCUGUAGGUUGGUUUCCACCAAAAGUAAGAAAAUACAUCUUUAAGAAACUAAGAAACUAAAAUGAUGUGAAUUCAGUAGUUGUGUAGAGUUUUAUGUGGUUUUGAACUAAGUGUCAGUUCAAUUCACAUGUGAAUUCACUUUAUAUUGUACAAUAAAUUUCAAAUUUUGAAUGAAAUGGUGAAUGUUAUGAUAUGUUUAUGUAA